Molecule: long non-coding RNA, 2738 nt
Organism: Oncorhynchus mykiss (rainbow trout)
Lineage: Eukaryota; Metazoa; Chordata; Actinopteri; Salmoniformes; Salmonidae
Source: RefSeq, a predicted model, not a curated record
AGGUCGCAAAGUUCAAGGGGGCCGAAUACUUUCGCAAGGCACUGUAUAUAUAUAUAUAUAUACAUAAUUAUAUAUACAUAAAUCUAUAUAAAUGAUCAACACUGUAUUCACUUCCGACUGUCAAGUGCAAAACAACAAGAGGAGAACUUCACAGAUGGAGCGAAACUGGUGGCGGGCAUAAGAAGCUCUACUCAAAGUCACAGGAUGUGUUGUCAUAGUGACAGCCGGCUCUAUGCAGAGAGUUGCAGGAUUAAAAAAGCAAGUCAUUCCAAUGUACACUGGAUCCUUUCUCCUUGAUCCAACUAGACUCUCCUCAUCAUAUGGAUUCACUGUUUUCAUAUUGUUCCCAACUGUAUUAUACAUGUAUUAAUUUCCUUCCUCUUGUGUAUCGUUAAUUUUAAGCUCAGUCUGUUUUACUUGAAAUCUGUUUUUAUUUGUUCUUAGUUGUCGUGAAUGUUGUGAAUUAUGAUAUAUUUUGAUUUGGUAAUGUUGCCAGUAUGUUUUGUAGCUUUGUCAAACUCCCAUUAAUUGAUCCUUAUAAAAAGGGCUGGAUUCAAAAAGAGGGCAUGGAUAUAAAAUACAUAGAUCUAUCAUGCAGAUCAGUACACGUCACCAUAAAUAAUGUGUCAUACCAGGUAUCACACACAUCAGAAAUCUAAAAGCAAGAUCAGAACUCUAGAAGCAAGACUGUCAGUGUCUCCUCUCCCUGAAGUGUUUAAUUUGACAUGUAAAUGCUACCUUCCCCCCCUGCCAUUAACAUCUACUACAGUUUGGCUUUAAUAAUGACUCUGUGUGAAUUAUGUCAGUGUUACAGUAGGCCUAUACACUGCUAGUGUAUCCACACCUAUUGGAUUGGUUUUCAGGAGUAAUAUUGUAUGGACAUGAACUCCUCGAGUGCACAUACACUUGGAGAUUACUACAGUAUAUACACAUGGGAAAACCUAUUUGUGUGUGUUGAUAUAUGCAGGAAUAUAUAUAUAUGUACAUUCAGGCAAAGUCAUGCAUUUUUAAAGACAGAAACUUUUUUUUUUCUUUUUUCCGUAAAAUAACUUUGUCAGUGUGAGUGGUCUAUUAAUUCACAUUUUAUAUAUUGAAGUGUAAGAGACGCUGCUAUAUGUGUAGUGUGUCGGAACUGUCCUCUGUUUCUGUCCCCAUUUCAGUGGUGAAAACACUCAUAUGUAUCUACUUUAAUGUUCUGCCAGGCUUCUCUACCAUUCUUUUGUAAAUAGGUAAAUAGUUUGACAAUCUAAGACCAAUUGAAAAGUGGUUGACAUUGCUCAAGCAAGCGACACAAGGACAGCUGCCAUAUUUUUUCUAACGCCAAAGAAUUAUUUUAGCUUUCGUUUCAUUGUUCUAUUACUCAACUCUAUUACUCAAUUACUCAACUUACUCAACAUACCAAGUGUUUCACUAAUUGAAAUACAAUAGGUCUAGGUCUGUCUAUACAGGGCCUCUGGGAACUGUGCAUUCUGACUCGGUCACUGAGUUAGGUUCCAGUUCUUUCUUCUCGAAGACCUUUUCGACUCAUCCCGAUAGGAGAUGGCUGGUUAGGUUGGAGUAAGAUUACAGCAACUCAACCGUGAGGCCACUAGUGAGGGUAGCAGGUUUUCAGAAUCGAACACAACUAUUGUAUUCACAAUAUUGUGCCCUUCAUAAAAGUUUUUACCAACUUCUAAACAACAUUUGACCAGCACAGUAUCUUUCAAGAUUUUCCUCUCACACAAUCACACAGUAUAGGUGCAUGUGUGUUGGGUAGCCAGGGUGCCAAAAUAGCGAAGAAGUUGAGCAUCGUGCUUCAACGCUCUUAGUUGUUGCAGAAAUUGACCCACCAUGCUAUUUACUUUUUGCAACUACGUCAUAUUGCUGAGUCUACCUUUAAUGUUCAACUUUGCUGUCUUUUCCUUUCCUAUUUUCAGUUGUACAUUGUUCUUUAAAAUUUUUUGGUUUGUUGUAUGAUCAACAAUGUCUUUCUUGUCUGAAAUACUUGAUUUCCAUGACCAAGCUUUCUGUAUCCAAUCAAUUGUGGGAAAUCGCCAAGAAAAAAAGAAAAGUCAGUAACCACGGUAAGUAGAGGAUGUCUACAUCAGCAGGAUGAUGCAACCUCUGUGUAAUGUGGCUCCAUCAUAGACCGGCCUCGCAUGUUCAGUGUCCGAGUCUGCACACAUCAUGCUUCAACUCUCCCUCGCUUGUCUUCUAAUUGCAUUCUCCUUCUACUCCAGUAGCAGUUCCAAGUGGCUCAUGUUGGUGAUGCUAACUAACAGGUUUGGUCUCCUUCUCUGUGUUCUAGUAUGCAUUGUUGUGUGGAUGUCGGUAGGUAGCCCUGCUUCAAUCUUCCAAGGUGGAAAGAAUACUUCAGGAAAAAAACAACUAGUCUAUGAUUGAGGUCCUUCCCUUCCCUUCUAGCUCUCUUUUAUUUUUCUAUUCGAUUUUUUUUAAUGUGUUUUUUCUUGUCUUUGAGUGAGUUGUUUCUUGCCUAUACUCAGUAUGCAGUAUUCUUCUUACCUGGUAUGAUUCAUACUAAUUUACAAGAGGGAGUCUGUCCGCCAUAAUGCCAUUUCUGUCCUGGAUUUAACAGUUAUCAGUGGGUUGCAGUAUUUUCUCAUUGUAGCCAAUUUUCUUGUACAGUUUUAUGCAAAUUUCACAUGGAUGUUUAUGACUUUCUCUGCUGCCACAAACAAUUUAGAAAUUAUGUAGAUAGAAAUUACUGUGCAACGGAAAAUAAAAGUGGAAAAAAUGUA